RNAcentral lists this ribosomal RNA (254 nucleotides) under uncultured bacterium. Its description in RNAcentral is "partial 16S ribosomal RNA". It matches the Rfam family "Bacterial small subunit ribosomal RNA", at positions 524 to 776 of the family's 1533-position model. The record is from RNAcentral.
UACGGAUGGUGCCAGCGUUGUCCGGAAUCACUGGGCGUAAAGGGCGCGUAGGUGGCCCGCGCAGGAGUGCGGGGAAAGCCCGGGGCUCAACCCCGGGUCGGCCGUGCGGCCUGCGGGGCUGGAGCACUGUAGGGGCGGGUGGAAUUCCGGGUGUAGCGGUGGAAUGCGUAGAGAUCCGGAAGAACACCGGUGGCGAAGGCGGCCCGCUGGGCAGUUGCUGACACUGAGGCGCGACAGCGUGGGGAGCAAACAGG